This 253-nucleotide ribosomal RNA is filed under the name uncultured bacterium. RNAcentral describes it as "partial 16S ribosomal RNA". It matches the Rfam family "Bacterial small subunit ribosomal RNA", at positions 524 to 776 of the family's 1533-position model. The record is from RNAcentral.
UACGUAGGAGACGAGCGUUGUCCGGAGUUACUGGGCGUAAAGGGUGCGCAGGUGGCGGCGCGCGUGGGGGGUGAAAUCGCCCGGCUUAACUGGGCGGGGGCCUUCCAGACGGCGUGGCUUGAGCAGCGGAGGGGGACGUGGAAUUCCGGGUGGAGCGGUGAAAUGCGUAGAGAUCAGGAGGAACACCCGUGGCGAAGGCGGCCCCCUGGGUCGGCCCUGACGCUGAGGCGCGAAAGCGUGGGGAGCGAACGGG